CCUACGGGUGACAGCAGUGGGGAAUAUUGGACAAUGGGGGGAACCCUGAUCCAGCGACGCCGCGUGAGUAAAGAAGAAUUUCGGUAUGUAAAGCUCUAUCAGCAGGGAAGAAAGAAAUGACGGUACCUGACUAAGAAGCACCGGCUGACUACGUGCCAGCAGCCGGGGUAAUACGUAGGGGGCAAGCGUUAUCCGGAUUUACUUGGUGUAAAGGGAGCGUAGACGGGGAUGCAAGUCUGAAGGGAAAGGCUGGGGCCCAACCCCCGGACGGCUUUGGAAACUGUAUGGCUGGAGUGCAGGAGAGGUAAGUGGAAUGCCUGGUGUAGCGGUGAAAUGCGUAGAUAUUAGGAGGAACACCAGUGGCGAAGGCAGCUUACUGGACUGUAACUGACGUUGAGGCUCGAAAGCGUGGGGAGCAAACAGGAUUAGAUACCCCUGUAGUC
RNAcentral lists this ribosomal RNA (443 nucleotides) under uncultured bacterium. RNAcentral describes it as "partial 16S ribosomal RNA". It matches the Rfam family "Bacterial small subunit ribosomal RNA", at positions 338 to 795 of the family's 1533-position model. The record is from RNAcentral.